GGGUUUUUCCAGAGAGUCACUUUGCAUCGACACAUGCUUCAGCGCUCUGAGUGUUUAUAGCGUUCAGACUCAAACACUUUAUAACACACCGCUGUUUACCACGGUACAAAAUGAAUCUCUUCAGCAGCUUCAUCUGGAUUCUGACAGCUUUUAUUCCAGCAUCCAGAGGAAUCACUGUGACUCAGCCUGAAGUUCUGCCUGUUUCUGAAGGACAAGACGCCACUAUAACGUGUAAAACUGAACCUGGGAUAUCAGGCUGGGGUUUAGCUUGGUAUCAGCAGAAACCUGGAGAAGCUCCUAAACUCAUCAUUACUGGAGUAAAUGAUCUCUAUGAUAACAGUUUCAGUCGAUUCACUGGGAAUGGAGCACAAUAUGGGACUGAUUUCUCUCUGACCAUCAGUGGAGUCCAGACUGAAGAUGCUGGACAUUAUUACUGUCAGAGUUAUCACUAUAUCAACAGUAAAGAUGUGUUCACUUUUGGUGGAGGAACUAAACUCACGAUCACUGGUCCCGCAGUGAAGCCCUCCGUGUCUCUGCUGCCUCCCUCUUCUCUGCAGAUCUCUGGAGACUCAGCAGCACUGCUCUGCCUGCUCAGCUCUUACUCUCCACAGGGGGCGCAGGUGAGCUGGACGCUGGACGGGUCAGAGGUCAGCGACGGGGUUCAGACCAGCGCAGAGAGCGAGCGGGACGGACUCUACAGCCGCAGCAGCGUCCUGAGCCUCAGCAAAGCACGCUGGGAAAACGCCAACAGCUUGGUCUGCAGAGUAACACACGAAGGAGGAGAUCAAGAGAGAGAGUUCCUCAAGAGCUCCGAGUGCUGAUGUUUCUCCAGUGAAGAGCAGCAGGAUUCACAGCAGAUUUACAGCUCAAUACUCAAGCGCUCUUUCCAUCUGCUGCCGUUGCUGUUCGUUCAAUAAAGCUUCUGAACGCCUUA
Molecule: non-coding RNA, 934 nt
Organism: Puntigrus tetrazona (Sumatra barb)
Lineage: Eukaryota; Metazoa; Chordata; Actinopteri; Cypriniformes; Cyprinidae
Source: the annotation of a RefSeq genome assembly